RNAcentral lists this long non-coding RNA (1730 nucleotides) under Canis lupus familiaris (dog). RNAcentral describes it as "lncRNA (ENSCAFG00000050487.1, ENSCAFG00805012700.1, ENSCAFG00845012508.1)". Lineage: Eukaryota; Metazoa; Chordata; Mammalia; Carnivora; Canidae. The record is from RNAcentral.
ACAUGAUAUUAACUAACGUUUUAAAGCACUUGCUACUACUAGGUCAUGCUCUCUGCUAAAUGGCUUAAGUGCAAGAUUUCACUUAAUUUUCAAAGCAUAAUAUGUCCAAGCAACUGUUUUUAUUCCCAUUGUAUAGACAAGGGAAUUAAGCCUUGAGGCAAUAAAGAACUUUGCAAGAUCACACAGCUAUCUAAGAAAUGGUAGAGUCAGAAUUUGAAUCUGUUUUUUUGUCUAUCUCCAGAGCCUGAGAUCUUAACUACUUGUUUAUUCACCAAUGGUAUAUUGACCUGCAUCUCUGAACUGAGAAUUUUACUAGGAGGUAGGGAAAAAUAAUUGCACAAGACACAUAUGGAACCUAUGCAUGUAGCAAUAACCCAUGCUGGCUAUUUGCAGAUUGAAAAUGUGCAACCACCCAGACAUCCUAGUUUUUGAAAACUUUAACACAGUUCUUUAGUACUACCUCAAUGUAAUGAAAAGGACACCAUGGUCAACUCAUAUUCUUCUGAGGAAUGAAAGCUAAUUUAGUAGCAGUGGCCACUUUAAAAUAAUGAGUUUUACAUACAACUAGAUUGAAUAGAUGAAUCAUACAAUAAUGGAAUCAUACAGGAUUCCAUUCAUUUUAUGUUUAUCAUGACCUUGACCUUGUUUAUCAUAGAUGGUCUUGAGUCCCCAUUCACAAUCUUGGUGUGGGAAGAGAAAGACUUAUGGAUUUGAAAGAGACUUUAGGGUAGUAUUGCCAGACAAAAUUAGGACAUUCAGUUAUGUUUGAGUUUUCAGUAAAUAAUAAAUACAUUUCUAGUAUAUUUCAAAUAUUGCAUAAUUUUACUAAAAAUAGUUUAGUUUUUUUAGAUGAAGUUUAAAUUUAUCUGGAUGCCUUGUAUUUUUAUUUGCUAAAUCUGGAAGUCGUGCUUCAGGGUCCUUGAGCUUGGCUUCACCAACCUUGCUUUGCAGAACUGGGAUAGAUGCUGCCCUCUGGGUGCACAAUUAUUAUUCCUCCAUUGAAUAAAUGUUUACUGAGGGCCUUCUGUGUAUUUGACACGAUUAGAGAUGGAUGUGUAUAUUGAUGAUUAUAAUGCAAGGUGGAAAAUAUUAUAAAAGUUAAGAAGUGAGUCAAAGACUAAAAAUGACUACAAAAUGGCCAGUAUUUAUAAAAGUCUUUUCUCUAUGCAAAUUCUAUGUUGAACACUUAGAUGCAUUCUCUUGCCAGAUUUUCAUACCAACUCUCUGAAGUAGGUACAUUUCACACAUGAAGGAACUGAGCUAUAAGAUCUGGAGGUGUUAGGAAACUUAGACCAUUGUACAUGGAUAAUAGGUGGCAAAGCUAGGAUCAAGGCCUUAGUGGGCUUAGUGCCAGAUAAAGCCAGAGCUCAUACACUUCCACUAAAAUGGCACUGGGUAAAUACAGUUGGCCAAGAGAAGCUGCUUGUGAAAGUGCCUUGCAUUACACUUUGUAGUGCCUCUAGGGAAAAGCAGAUGAACAAAAUGGAUGUUAGCAGUGAGAAGAGCCUUCUUGAGAAAAUGUCAUGUCUGAAGAAUAGGGCACAUAUGAAGAAAGGCAAGAAUUGAGGACAGACAGUGGAUAAGAAGCCAGACAAUGUUAGGCUUGGCAUUCACCUGUUUAAUCAAUAUUUCUGGAUUUAUCUAUCUUGACCGAAAACUGACAAUUCCUAUUUACAGAGAACCACAAGUUAAGAUCACCUUGACUUUAAUGAUGAAGUUACAGUGCAAAU